Molossus molossus (Pallas's mastiff bat) is the source of this 759-nucleotide long non-coding RNA. RefSeq lists it as uncharacterized. The transcript is spliced from 3 exons. The record is from RefSeq and is a predicted model, not a curated record. NCBI's taxonomy places the organism in Eukaryota, Metazoa, Chordata, Mammalia, Chiroptera, Molossidae.
ACCACCCACCCGCCAGAGGCUGGCAGGGUAGGUUGCCUUCUCCCGGGCACUCCUGAGAAGAGGGUGGCAGCUGCCCAGGUCCCCAGGAAUGCGUAAGACAAGGACACUGCUUCUAACUGCAGGCUGACCGGCAAUGGAGAGCAGAGCACUGUCAGCCCUGCAGAUAUAGAAGUGUGGAAAUUUUUAGAGCUGUCAUUGAGGUUCUCUGUCAUACUAUGACUUGAGCACAGAGUAAAGGAACCAGAGCUUGAAUAUAAGGGGUUGGUUACUCAGGAGUUGGAAGGCUGAAAAUACAAAAAGGGAUACUGAAGCAAUAGAGAUAAUACAGGAAGAAGCUGCCGCCCCCAGAGCAAGGGGAAGAAGGGAAGACGUUGGUGUCAUCGGAAAUCUAGAAUCAGGAUGAGGGGCAUUGAAGAGCCAGAGCCCAGAUCUGUGAGGAGGGGCUGCUGCAAUUUUUCAGGGGAAGCAACAUCAUCAGCUAAGAGAGGGAACAAGAACUACCAUCCCUGGAGGGCAGGGACUGGGUGUCUGACAGUCACCACCACUAACCCAGGCCCAGGCAGCAAUGGAUCAUAUGACCAAUACCCCAAGUCAUGGUGAUGGGCCAGCAGGCCCGCCCACCAGCCUGGGUCAAUGAGCAAUUGGCAAACAGUACUCCAAUUUCUGCUCCAAGUCUCCUUACUCUCCUCACAUCUGGGAGAAGGCCUCUAUGCCCAAGAAACAGAACCCAGAAAUAAUCACUUGAGAGUUUAAUAAAUC